GAUGAACGCUGGCGGCGUGCUUAACACAUGCAAGUCGAACGAUGAUGCCCAGCUUGCUGGGUGGAUUAGUGGCGAACAGGUGAGUAACACGUGAGUAACCUGCCCUUGACUCUGGGAUAAGCCUGGGAAACUGGGUCUAAUACCGGAUACGACCAUCUGGCGCAUGUCAUGGUGGUGGAAAGCUUUUGUGGUUUUGGAUGGACUCGCGGCCUAUCAGCUUGUUGGUGGGGUAAUGGCCUACCAAGGCGACGACGGGUAGCCGGCCUGAGAGGGUGACCGGCCACACUGGGACUGAGACACGGCCCAGACUCCUACGGGAGGCAGCAGUGGGGAAUAUUGCACAAUGGGCGCAAGCCUGAUGCAGCGACGCCGCGUGAGGGAUGACGGCCUUCGGGUUGUAAACCUCUUUCAGUAGGGAAGAAGCGAAAGUGACGGUACCUGCAGAAGAAGCGCCGGCUAACUACGUG
RNAcentral lists this ribosomal RNA (467 nucleotides) under uncultured bacterium. Its description in RNAcentral is "partial 16S ribosomal RNA". It matches the Rfam family "Bacterial small subunit ribosomal RNA", at positions 28 to 507 of the family's 1533-position model. The record is from RNAcentral.